Molecule: long non-coding RNA, 210 nt
Filed under: Dromaius novaehollandiae (emu)
Lineage: Eukaryota; Metazoa; Chordata; Aves; Casuariiformes; Dromaiidae
Description: lncRNA (ENSDNVG00000008821.1)
Source: RNAcentral
AUGUUUGGACAAACAAAUAUACUUAGUUCCGUGUUCAGAAGUGUGGAUCUCCGUACUGUCUGGAUGUUAUCCGAUGAAUAUCUAGGUGCAGAGGAUUGGACUGAUUAUAUUUGGAAUGAGCAAAAAUCCAUCUCCGUACCUGACCUUUUUGAGUCUUUUUCCUAACUGAGGAAUGAAACCUGUCCUAACAAAUUUUGAAGAGAUACUAGG